GGUUAGAUAAGUUAAUUAAUCAAAAUUUAAUAAUUAUUUUUUACCCAUUUAGGAUUGAAUAGUCAUUAUAAAAAUAAUAAAAUAUAAAUAAAGUGAUAAAACAAUAAAUUAAGCAUAAAAUGAAUCUUAUUUUAAUAUUAAAUUUCUGUGAAAUGUUUAAUGUAUAUGGCCUGCAAUACAAUGAGACAGUGGUAAUAAAAUAAAUUAAUAAAAAUAAAUAAUUAUAUGUAUUUUUAUAUUUUAUUUAUUAUAAUAAUUGAAAGAGA
RNAcentral lists this unclassified non-coding RNA (266 nucleotides) under Hevea brasiliensis (rubber tree). Lineage: Eukaryota; Viridiplantae; Streptophyta; Magnoliopsida; Malpighiales; Euphorbiaceae. The record is from RNAcentral.